CCCGGGGAUCCGAUCGCUAGUAAUCGCGGAUCAGAGGAAGGUGAAUACGUUCCCGGGCCUUGUACACACCGCCCCUACGGGAGGCAGCAGUAAGGAAUAUUGGACAAUGGGCGAGAGCCUGAUCCAGCCAUGCCGCGUGCAGGAUGACGGUCCUAUGGAUUGUAAACUGCUUUUGUAUGGGAAUAAACCCAGGUACGUGUACCUGGCUGAAUGUACCAUAAGAAUAAGGAUCGGCUAACUCCGUGCCAGCAGCCGCGGUAAUACGGAGGAUCCAAGCGUUAUCCGGAUUUAUUGGGUUUAAAGGGUGCGUAGGCGGGACAGUAAGUCAGUGGUGAAAUCCUAUCGCUAACGAUAGAAUUGCCAUUGAUACUGCUGACCUUGAGUACAAAUGAUGUGGGCGGAAUGUGCAGUGUAGCGGUGAAAUGCUUAGAUAUUGCACAGAACACCGAUAGCGAAGGCAGCUCACAAAAAUGUAACUGACGCUGAGGCACGAAAGUAUGGGGAUCAAACAGGAUUAGAUACCCUGGUAGUCCAUACAGUAAACGUUGAUAACUCGAUGUGUGCGAUAUACAGUACGCGUCCAAGGGAAACCGAUAAGUUAUCCACCUGGGGAGUACGACCGCAAGGUUGAAACUCAAAGGAAUUGACGGGGGCCCGCACAAGCGGAGGAGCAUGUGGUUUAAUUCGAUGAUACGCGAGGAACCUUACCUGGGCUAGAAUGCCCUUGAUGGGUGCAGAGAUGCACUGUUCCGCUAGGACAAGGAGCAAGGUGCUGCAUGGCUGUCGUCAGCUCGUGCCGUGAGGUGUUGGGUUAAGUCCCGCAACGAGCGCAACCCUUAUUCUUAGUUGCCAACACGAAAGGUGGGGACUCUAAGAAGACUGCCUGCGCAAGCAGAGAGGAAGGAGGGGAUGACGUCAAGUCAUCAUGGCCCUUACGCCCAGGGCUACACACGUGCUACAAUGGCGUAUACAGAGUGUUGCAAGCUGGUGACAGUGAGUUUUUCCCAAAAAGUAGUUGUCAGUUCGGAUUCCAGGAAGCAACUCGCGGGCAUGAAGGAGGAAUUGCUAGUAAUUGGGCAUCAGCAAUGGCGCGGUGAAUACGUUCCCGGGCCUUGUACACACCGCCAUCCAUAUGA
This 1136-nucleotide ribosomal RNA is filed under the name uncultured soil bacterium. RNAcentral's name for it is "bacterial SSU rRNA". It matches the Rfam family "Bacterial small subunit ribosomal RNA", at positions 267 to 1404 of the family's 1533-position model. The record is from RNAcentral.